UUCGGGGAACCUGGAGACAGGUGCUGCAUGGCUGUCGUCAGGCUCGUGUCGUGAGACUGUAGGGUUAAGUCCCGCAACGAGCGCAACCCUUGUCUUUAAUUGCCAUCAUUGAGUUGGGCACUUUAAAGAGACUGCCGGUGUUAAACCGGAGGAAGGUGGGGAUGACGUCAAGUCCUCAUGGCCCUUAUGUCCAGGGCUACACACGUGCUACAAUGGCCGGUACAAAGGGCUGCAAGACCGUGAGGUUGAGCGAAUCCCAGAAAGCCGGUCUCAGUUCGGAUUGGAGUCUGCAACUCGACUCCAUGAAGUUGGAAUCGCUAGUAAUCGCGGGAUCAGCAUGCCGCGGUGAAUACGGUUCCCGGGCCUU
This 367-nucleotide ribosomal RNA is filed under the name uncultured Desulfuromonas sp. Its description in RNAcentral is "bacterial SSU rRNA". It matches the Rfam family "Bacterial small subunit ribosomal RNA", at positions 1018 to 1382 of the family's 1533-position model. The record is from RNAcentral. Lineage: Bacteria; Pseudomonadati; Thermodesulfobacteriota; Desulfuromonadia; Desulfuromonadales; Desulfuromonadaceae.